This is a long non-coding RNA of Mercurialis annua (annual mercury), 1108 nucleotides long. RefSeq lists it as uncharacterized. NCBI's taxonomy places the organism in Eukaryota, Viridiplantae, Streptophyta, Magnoliopsida, Malpighiales, Euphorbiaceae. The transcript is spliced from 5 exons. The record is from RefSeq and is a predicted model, not a curated record.
CCCCAUAAAAUUUUAAAAUUUAUUUUUGCGAGUUUCAGUAAUAUUUUGAGUCAUUUACGUAUUUGAAAUUCGUUGGGUGGUUCGAUUUGUGGCUUGGUUCGUGGCUCGGUUCGGUCUUUGGUUCUCUAGGUUUGUGGUACAUGCGGAAAAUCUCAGGUCUCAAUCGAGACCUGAAAUUUUCACGUAAAGUCUCGUUCGAGACCUUCAGUCUCGAACGAGACUUCUUCAAUUUGUUGUUGGUCUCGUUCGAGACCAGCAUUUUGGUUCACAGGGGUCCAUUUUUUCCUUCGUUUUAUAACCUAACUAACUCCUAUAAAUCCGUAACUUUUCAAUCCUAAUCUAUUCACCACACGGCACACUAAACCCUAGCUGCCAAUUCUUGCUGAUCCUUUGAGGAAUCGCUGCCCUUAUUUUCCUCCCAAAGUUUCCAAAAUUUUUGCAAAUUCAGUUCCGCUUCGUCGCUGAGAAAGUAGACUCAUUCCUCUACAACUUUGCCUUUCGAAUUUUGUCAAACGCCGUUUGGAGAUCGAAAUCCGUUCCGUUCAUUCCCCGUGAUAGUAGGCUCGCUCCUCUACGAUUCUACACUUUUCUUUUGUCAAACGGUACGUAAACGCACCCGUAUCAAUCGCCGUCGUUUCAUCGUUUUGCGGUAGCUUAAGUUUCUACUUGCUCUGUUUAUUGUCAUAGGCUAAGUGUUGAUUCCUGGGUGUGAUUCUUAUUACGUUAGGCUAUUAUCUUACGUCCGAAUCAAGUCGUUUCAUCUCUGAAAUUCUUCAAAACUUCAUUGAUUCUCAGAGACCCGUCGACUGCUCGUGCUUCGGAGUCUACGCAGGGUUAACUGUUUGCCAAGAUCACGUGGAUAAGCAAGCAGUUUAUUAUUUUGAGCGAGUCUGCAGAUCUCCGAAUCUUUAUUCCUCGGAGGUUUAUUUUCUUUUUAAUAAAUUGUCAAACUACUUUUAUUCUUAGACCGCAGUAGUAAAUUAGAAGUCUAUAUUAUUCUAGUCUGUUUGUCGGAUUUGUCUGACUGGCUUUCUUUUAUGCUUUGGCAUUAAUAUUGUUUAACUCUGGUUAUAUUUAUUUAAUGGAAGUACUUAUAUUUAAACUGUUA